CCUACGGGAGGCAGCAGUGAGGAAUAUUGGUCAAUGGACGCAAGUCUGAACCAGCCAAGUAGCGUGCAGGAUGACGGCCCUCCGGGUUGUAAACUGCUUUUAGUUGGGAAUAAAAGGGGGCUCGUGAGCCCCGUAUUGUAUGUACCAUCAGAAAACGGACCGGCUAAUUCCGUGCCAGCAGCCGCGGUAAUACGGGAGGUCCGGGCGUUAUCCGGUUUUAUUGGGUUUAAAGGGAGCGUAGGCCGGCUUUUAAGUCAGCUGUGAAAGUCCGCAGCUUAAACGUGGAAGUGCAGUUGAAACUGGAUGUCUUGAGUGCACACAGGGAAGGCGGAAUGCAUGGUGUAGCGGUGAAAUGCUUAGAUAUCAUGAAGAACUCCGAUCGCGAAGGCAAGUGUCCGGGGUGCAACUGACGCUGAGGCUCGAAAGUGCGGGUAUCAAACAGGAUUAGAUACCCUUGUAGUC
RNAcentral lists this ribosomal RNA (462 nucleotides) under uncultured bacterium. RNAcentral's name for it is "partial 16S ribosomal RNA". It matches the Rfam family "Bacterial small subunit ribosomal RNA", at positions 338 to 795 of the family's 1533-position model. The record is from RNAcentral.